UGAUGUGAGAAUGAUCUCUACAACAUCUGUCACCCCACGAUUCUCAGUGUUGAUUGGGCCCGGCUGGCUGGACAAGGAUUCUAUACUGCUCCCAAAUCCUUGGAUGUCGCCUCCCAAGCCUGCACAUAGGAGAUGAGAAGGCAUGAUUCUAGGGAGAGAAUAUCUGAUUUUUGGUAAGAGACAUGAAUGAAGCUAGCUCUCCUGCUACAUACUUUAAGCAUGCUAACAGGUUCCUCUUGUCAUUGCGCUGUGAUGACUAAGAAAGUGGUAGGUCUUUUAUUUAUAUUUGUUAAGAAUUUUUCUUGACUCUCUACUCAAGGAUGAGUUGCUGA
This 332-nucleotide small nuclear RNA is filed under the name Carlito syrichta (Philippine tarsier). RNAcentral describes it as "7SK RNA (ENSTSYG00000023802.2)". Lineage: Eukaryota; Metazoa; Chordata; Mammalia; Primates; Tarsiidae. The record is from RNAcentral.